GACGAUAAAAAACAUAGAGGAACAAUCCUCCAUCGAUUGUGGCUCUCCACCCAAGGUAGUGGCACACCACCCAAGGCAGUGCAUGACGCCCAAAGGGGCAGCAGCACACUGCCUGAGGCGGCAGUAUGCCUUACUAAGCUGGUCGUGCACUACAGGCCUAGCCUGCAGGUGUUGGUCUACCCUCCCGCGUGCAAGGUGCUGCACGUAGGCCUAUCCGCAUAGGCCUACUGCGGGGACAGUGCACGUACAGGGUACAACGCCUAGCUCUGUCUGUGCGCGACAUGACGCGCGCAAACUGGCCUGUCUGCGCGCGACGUGAUACGCACGAAGACCAGCCUCAUG
Molecule: long non-coding RNA, 342 nt
Filed under: Carica papaya (papaya)
Lineage: Eukaryota; Viridiplantae; Streptophyta; Magnoliopsida; Brassicales; Caricaceae
Description: long non-coding RNA (CPAP_LNC003403)
Source: RNAcentral